GAUGAACGCUAGCGGCAGGCUUAAUACAUGCAAGUCGAGGGGCAGCACGGUUAGCAAUAACUGGUGGCGACCGGCGCACGGGUGCGUAACACGUAUACAAUCUACCUUAAACAGGGGGAUAGCCUUUCGAAAGAGAGAUUAAUACCCCGUAAUAAAUUGAACGGCAUCGUUUGAUUUUGAAAGCUCCGGCGGUUUGAGAUGAGUAUGCGUCUGAUUAGCUAGUUGGUGAGGUAACGGCUCACCAAGGCGACGAUCAGUAGGGGAUCUGAGAGGACUAACCCCCACACUGGUACUGAGACACGGACCAGACUCCUACGGGAGGCAGCAGUAAGGAAUAUUGGUCAAUGGAGGCAACUCUGAACCAGCCAUGCCGCGUGCAGGAUGACGGCCCUAUGGGUUGUAAACUGCUUUUAUACAAGAGAAAACCCUGGUACGUGUACCAGGUUGAUAGUAUUGUAAGAAUAAGCAUCGGCUAACUUCGUGCAGCAGCCGCGGUAA
This 498-nucleotide ribosomal RNA is filed under the name uncultured bacterium. RNAcentral's name for it is "bacterial SSU rRNA". It matches the Rfam family "Bacterial small subunit ribosomal RNA", at positions 28 to 523 of the family's 1533-position model. The record is from RNAcentral.